RNAcentral lists this unclassified non-coding RNA (362 nucleotides) under soil metagenome. RNAcentral's name for it is "partial contains 5.8S ribosomal RNA, internal transcribed spacer 2, and large subunit ribosomal RNA". The stretch from base 1 to 120 matches the Rfam family "5.8S ribosomal RNA", at positions 35 to 154 of the family's 154-position model. The record is from RNAcentral.
GAUGAAGAACGUAGCGAAAUGCGAUAAGUAAUGUGAAUUGCAGAAUUCAGUGAAUCAUCGAAUCUUUGAACGCACCUUGCGCUCCUUGGUAUUCCGAGGAGCAUGCCUGUUUGAGUGUCAUUAAUAUAUCAACCUUCUCUUUUUUGAGUUGUUUGGAUGUGGGGGUUUGCUGGCCACUUAAAUGAUUCAGCUCCCCUGAAAUGCAUUAGCAGAACAACCUGUUCAUUAGCGUGAUAAUUAUCUAUGCUAUUGAAUGUGAGGGCAGUUCAGCUUUCUAACCGUCCUUGGACAAUUCAUCAUUAAUGUGACCUCAAAUCAGGUAGGACUACCCGCUGAACUUAAGCAUAUCAAUAAGCGGAGGA